This 608-nucleotide long non-coding RNA is filed under the name Hordeum vulgare. RNAcentral describes it as "long non-coding RNA (HVUL_LNC006309)". Lineage: Eukaryota; Viridiplantae; Streptophyta; Magnoliopsida; Poales; Poaceae. The record is from RNAcentral.
AUUAACAUGCCUGAUGUACAUUUUUCAAAAGAAAUCACACCAUUUACUAGAAAAUUGAUAUGAUAUAUUUGGGUACGUCCUUCAGCUAGCGGGAAUGAUGAUUUUUUGACUAAUUCUAAUAUCAAUAUGCAUGAUCUCAUAUAUAUAUUGCUUGUUUUUGGCACGGAGUUUUCUCUAUUUAGAUUUUUGUUUUUAUAAUAAACUCCCUCUUUUAUUCAGGUGUUAGGAUAGUAGCGUCAAAUACAAAGAAUGGAAUGAUCGCACUAGGAGCCGAAUCCAUCCAUAAUUCAGGAGGAGAAACCUUAGCUAACCUAGCUAAUUGGUGGGCUACUUAAUUAUUUUCUUUAAAACAGUGAUCAUAGAUUACAUGGGUAAAAUAUAAGGACAUAAAGUAGUAAUCAUUGAAGAUUCAAGUUUUCUUUCUGUAAUUUCUUGUAAGAAAACUAUGGCAUAUUUAGAAAGGCACUGCGCUGGUUCGAGUAAGACGAUGUCGAGCAGGAAAGUGUAGUGACAGAUCGCGUGGUGGUCGGCUCGUCUCUCUAAAUAUUUUGGUGGCGACGGAGGGACAAUAGCACGGAGCAGCAGCCAGUGACGUAGCUAGGGGGUGG